This is a long non-coding RNA of Cygnus olor (mute swan), 384 nucleotides long. RefSeq lists it as uncharacterized. The transcript has 3 exons. The record is from RefSeq and is a predicted model, not a curated record. NCBI's taxonomy places the organism in Eukaryota, Metazoa, Chordata, Aves, Anseriformes, Anatidae.
AACUGGUUCACAGUGGGAAAUGGAGCAUUUAGAAAUGGAGAGGACAAUGGCCUGCAGCCCCCAGCAUGUGACUUCAAUCAAACUUGUAGGAGUAACAGCUGUUACAAGGUGAUGGCAGAGACCUAGCUGCACGUUUCUCCCUUCUGAACACCUCUGAGCUAUAUUUUGGUGACUGACAGCAUGAGGAAGGCAGAAGAGAGUGGACGGGGGAGUCAGAGGGGCAGAAAUGCCUUUCUGGAAUAUGCUAGGGCUAUAAAAUGAAUUUGACAUAUGUGGAAAGGAGAAGGGCAGCAAUAAAUUUGUAAGUCUAUGCAAAAUUAAAAUUGCUCAGUUUAGUAUGUUAGAAUAAUGAUGACUGACUGUAAUGAUAAUAUGUAAAUCCAU